GACGAACGCUGGCGGCGUGCUUAACACAUGCAAGUCGAACGGAAAGGCCCUGCUUUUGUGGGGUGCUCGAGUGGCGAACGGGUGAGUAACACGUGAGUAACCUGCCCUUGACUUUGGGAUAACUUCAGGAAACUGGGGCUAAUACCGGAUAGGAGCUCCUGCUGCAUGGUGGGGGUUGGAAAGUUUCGGCGGUUGGGGAUGGACUCGCGGCUUAUCAGCUUGUUGGUGGGGUAGUGGCUUACCAAGGCUUUGACGGGUAGCCGGCCUGAGAGGGUGACCGGCCACAUUGGGACUGAGAUACGGCCCAGACUCCUACGGGAGGCAGCAGUGGGGAAUAUUGCACAAUGGGCGGAAGCCUGAUGCAGCAACGCCGCGCGCGGGAUGACGGCCUUCGGGUUGCAAACCGCUUUCGCCUGUGACGAAGCGUGAGUGACGGUAAUGGGUAAAGAAGCACCGGCUAACUACGU
Molecule: ribosomal RNA, 467 nt
Filed under: uncultured bacterium
Lineage: Bacteria
Description: partial 16S ribosomal RNA
Rfam family: Bacterial small subunit ribosomal RNA
Source: RNAcentral